UUGACCUCGAAUCAGGUAGGAAUACCCGCUGAACUUAAGCAUAUCAAUAAGCGGAGGAAAAGAAACCAACAGGGAUUGCCCCAGUAACGGCGAGUGAAGCGGCAACAGCUCAAAUUUGAAAUCUGGCCCCUAGGGCCCGAGUUGUAAUUUGCAGAGGAUGCUUUUGGCGAGGUGCCUUCCGAGUUCCCUGGAACGGGACGCCAUAGAGGGUGAGAGCCCCGUCUGGUUGGAUGCCGAGCCUCUGUAAAGCUCCUUCGACGAGUCGAGUAGUUUGGGAAUGCUGCUCUAAAUGGGAGGUAUAUGUCUUCUAAAGCUAAAUACCGGCCAGAGACCGAUAGCGCACAAGUAGAGUGAUCGAAAGAUGAAAAGCACUUUGAAAAGAGGGUUAAAUAGUACGUGAAAUUGUUGAAAGGGAAGCACUUAUGACCAGACUUGGACCCGGUGAAUCAUCCAGCGUUCUCGCUGGUGCACUUUGCCGGGCUCAGGCCAGCAUCAGUUUGCCUCGGGGGAUAAAGGCUUUGGGAAUGUGGCUCCCUCGGGAGUGUUAUAGCCCAUUGCACAAUACCCUGGGGCGGA
Molecule: ribosomal RNA, 576 nt
Filed under: Pochonia chlamydosporia
Lineage: Eukaryota; Fungi; Ascomycota; Sordariomycetes; Hypocreales; Clavicipitaceae
Description: eukaryotic LSU rRNA
Rfam family: Eukaryotic large subunit ribosomal RNA
Source: RNAcentral